AUUGAACGCUGGCGGCAUGCCUUACACAUGCAAGUCGAACGGCAGCAUGGAGAGCUUGCUCUCUGAUGGCGAGUGGCGAACGGGUGAGUAAUGCAUCGGAACGUACCGUGUAAUGGGGGAUAACGUAGCGAAAGUUACGCUAAUACCGCAUACGACCUGAGGGUGAAAGCAGGGGAUCGCAAGACCUUGCGUUAUACGAGCGGCCGAUGUCAGAGUAGCUAGUUGGUGAGGUAAAGGCUCACCAAGGCGACGAUCUGUAGCGGGUCUGGAGAGGAUGAUCCGCCACACUGGGACUGAGACACGGCCCAGACUCCUACGGGAGGCAGCAGUGGGGAAUUUUGGACAAUGGGGGCAACCCUGAUCCAGCCAUGCCGCGUGAGUGAAGAAGGCCUUCGGGUUGUAAAGCUCUUUCGGCCGGGAAGAAAUCGCACAGGCUAAUACUCUGUGUGGAUGACGGUACCGGCAUAAGAAGCACCGGCUAACUACGUGCCAGCCGCCGCGGUAA
This 505-nucleotide ribosomal RNA is filed under the name uncultured bacterium. RNAcentral's name for it is "partial 16S ribosomal RNA". It matches the Rfam family "Bacterial small subunit ribosomal RNA", at positions 30 to 523 of the family's 1533-position model. The record is from RNAcentral.